GGGACACGUGGUAUCCUGUCUGAAUAUGGGGGGACCAUCCUCCAAGGCUAAAUACUCCUGACUGACCGAUAGUGAACCAGUACCGUGAGGGAAAGGCGAAAAGAACCCCGGCGAGGGGAGUGAAAAAGAACCUGAAACCGUGUACGUACAAGCAGUGGGAGCACGCUUAGGCGUGUGACUGCGUACCUUUUGUAUAAUGGGUCAGCGACUUAUAUUCUGUAGCAAGGUUAACCGAAUAGGGGAGCCGAAGGGAAACCGAGUCUUAACUGGGCGUUAAGUUGCAGGGUAUAGACCCGAAACCCGGUGAUCUAGCCAUGGGCAGGUUGAAGGUUGGGUAACACUAACUGGAGGACCGAACCGACUAAUGUUGAAAAAUUAGCGGAUGACUUGUGGCUGGGGGUGAAAGGCCAAUCAAACCGGGAGAUAGCUGGUUCUCCCCGAAAGCUAUUUAGGUAGCGCCUCGUGAAUUCAUCUCCGGGGGUAGAGCACUGUUUCGGCAAGGGGGUCAUCCCGACUUACCAACCCGAUGCAAACUGCGAAUACCGGAGAAUGUUAUCACGGGAGACACACGGCGGGUGCUAACGUCCGUCGUGAAGAGGGAAACAACCCAGACCGCCAGCUAAGGUCCCAAAGUCAUGGUUAAGUGGGAAACGAUGUGGGAAGGCCCAGACAGCCAGGAUGUUGGCUUAGAAGCAGCCAUCAUUUAAAGAAAGCGUAAUAGCUCACUGGUCGAGUCGGCCUGCGCGGAAGAUGUAACGGGGCUAAACCAUGCACCGAAGCUGCGGCAGCGACGCUUAUGCGUUGUUGGGUAGGGGAGCGUUCUGUAAGCCUGUGAAGGUGUGCUGUGAGGCAUGCUGGAGGUAUCAGAAGUGCGAAUGCUGACAUAAGUAACGAUAAAGCGGGUGAAAAGCCCGCUCGCCGGAAGACCAAGGGUUCCUGUCCAACGUUAAUCGGGGCAGGGUGAGUCGACCCCUAAGGCGAGGCCGAAAGGCGUAGUCGAUGGGAAACAGGUUAAUAUUCCUGUACUUGGUGUUACUGCGAAGGGGGGACGGAGAAGGCUAUGUUGGCCGGGCGACGGUUGUCCCGGUUUAAGCGUGUAGGCUGGUUUUCCAGGCAAAUCCGGAAAAUCAAGGCUGAGGCGUGAUGACGAGGCACUACGGUGCUGAAGCAACAAAUGCCCUGCUUCCAGGAAAAGCCUCUAAGCAUCAGGUAACAUCAAAUCGUACCCCAAACCGACACAGGUGGUCAGGUAGAGAAUACCAAGGCGCUUGAGAGAACUCGGGUGAAGGAACUAGGCAAAAUGGUGCCGUAACUUCGGGAGAAGGCACGCUGAUAUGUAGGUGAAGCGACUUGCUCGUGGAGCUGAAAUCAGUCGAAGAUACCAGCUGGCUGCAACUGUUUAUUAAAAACACAGCACUGUGCAAACACGAAAGUGGACGUAUACGGUGUGACGCCUGCCCGGUGCCGGAAGGUUAAUUGAUGGGGUCAGCGCAAGCGAAGCUCUUGAUCGAAGCCCCGGUAAACGGCGGCCGUAACUAUAACGGUCCUAAGGUAGCGAAAUUCCUUGUCGGGUAAGUUCCGACCUGCACGAAUGGCGUAAUGAUGGCCAGGCUGUCUCCACCCGAGACUCAGUGAAAUUGAACUCGCUGUGAAGAUGCAGUGUACCCGCGGCAAGACGGAAAGACCCCGUGAACCUUUACUAUAGCUUGACACUGAACAUUGAGCCUUGAUGUGUAGGAUAGGUGGGAGGCUUAGAAGUGUGGACGCCAGUCUGCAUGGAGCCGACCUUGAAAUACCACCCUUUAAUGUUUGAUGUUCUAAC
This 1822-nucleotide ribosomal RNA is filed under the name Escherichia coli. RNAcentral's name for it is "partial 23S ribosomal RNA". It matches the Rfam family "Bacterial large subunit ribosomal RNA", at positions 419 to 2226 of the family's 2925-position model. The record is from RNAcentral. Lineage: Bacteria; Pseudomonadati; Pseudomonadota; Gammaproteobacteria; Enterobacterales; Enterobacteriaceae.